RNAcentral lists this transfer RNA (72 nucleotides) under Aedes aegypti (yellow fever mosquito). It matches the Rfam family "tRNA". Rfam says of the family: Transfer RNA (tRNA) molecules are approximately 80 nucleotides in length. Their secondary structure includes four short double-helical elements and three loops (D, anti-codon, and T loops). Lineage: Eukaryota; Metazoa; Arthropoda; Insecta; Diptera; Culicidae. The record is from Rfam by way of RNAcentral.
GGCUCGGUAGCUUAGUUGGUAAAGCGCUCGUCUAGCAUACAAGAGUCAUGGGUUUAAAUCCCAGCCGAGCAC